This 435-nucleotide ribosomal RNA is filed under the name uncultured bacterium. RNAcentral describes it as "partial 16S ribosomal RNA". It matches the Rfam family "Bacterial small subunit ribosomal RNA", at positions 28 to 507 of the family's 1533-position model. The record is from RNAcentral.
GAUGAACGCUGGCGGUAUGCUUAACACAUGCAAGUCGAACGGACUCUUCGGAGUUAGUGGCGGACGGGUGAGUAACGCGUGAGAAUCUGGCUUUGGGUUCGGGACAACCACUGGAAACGGUGGCUAAUACCGGAUGUGCCGAGAGGUAAAAGAGAAAUUGCCUGAAGAUGAGCUCGCGUCUGAUUAGCUAGUUGGUGAGGUAAAGGCUCACCAAGGCAGCGAUCAGUAGCUGGUCUGAGAGGAUGACCAGCCACACUGGGACUGAGACACGGCCCAGACUCCUACGGGAGGCAGCAGUGGGGAAUUUUCCGCAAUGGGCGAAAGCCUGACGGAGCGAUACCGCGUGAGGGAAGAAGGCUCUUGGGUUGUAAACCUCUUUUCUUAGGGAAGAACAAAAUGACGGUACCUAAGGAAUCAGCAUCGGCUAACUCCGUG